RNAcentral lists this ribosomal RNA (255 nucleotides) under uncultured bacterium. RNAcentral describes it as "partial 16S ribosomal RNA". It matches the Rfam family "Bacterial small subunit ribosomal RNA", at positions 524 to 776 of the family's 1533-position model. The record is from RNAcentral.
UACGUAGGGUGCAAGCGUUGUCCGGAAUUAUUGGGCGUAAAGAGCUCGUAGGCGGUUUGUCGCGUCUGCUGUGAAAAUCCGAGGCUCAACCUCGGACUUGCAGUGGGUACGGGCAGACUAGAGUGUGGUAGGGGAGACUGGAAUUCCUGGUGUAGCGGUGGAAUGCGCAGAUAUCAGGAGGAACACCGAUGGCGAAGGCAGGUCUCUGGGCCGAUACUGACGCUGGAGGAGCGAAAGGCGUGGGGAGCGAACAGG